Molecule: ribosomal RNA, 560 nt
Filed under: Mastigocladus sp. C85
Lineage: Bacteria; Bacillati; Cyanobacteriota; Cyanophyceae; Nostocales; Hapalosiphonaceae
Description: bacterial SSU rRNA
Rfam family: Bacterial small subunit ribosomal RNA
Source: RNAcentral
AUGGAAACGUCUGCUAAUACCGGAUGUGCCGUAAGGUAAAAGGCUUGCUCGCCUGAAGAUGAGCUCGCGUCUGAUUAGCUAGUUGGUGGGGUAAGAGCUUACCAAGGCGACGAUCAGUAGCUGGUCUGAGAGGAUGAUCAGCCACACUGGAACUGAGACACGGUCCAGACUCCUACGGGAGGCAGCAGUGGGGAAUUUUCCGCAAUGGGCGAAAGCCUGACGGAGCAAUACCGCGUGAGGGAGGAAGGCUCUUGGGUUGUAAACCUCUUUUCUCAAGGAAGAAGAUUGACGGUACUUGAGGAAUAAGCAUCGGCUAACUCCGUGCCAGCAGCCGCGUUAUUACGGAGGAGGCAAGCGUUAUCCGGAAUGAUUGGGCGUAACGCGUCCGCAGGUGGUUAUGCAAGUCUAUUGUUAAAGAGUCAUGCUUAACAUGAUAAGGGCAGUAGAAACUGCAAAACUAGAGUGCGUUCGGGGCAGAGGGAAUUCCUGGUGUAGCGGUGAAAUGCGUAGAGAUCAGGAAGAACACCGGUGGCGAAAGCGCUCUGCUAGGCCGCAACUGA